AGUGAACGCUGGCGGUAGGCCUAACACAUGCAAGUCGAACGGCAGCACAGUAAGAGCUUGCUCUUACGGGUGGCGAGUGGCGGACGGGUGAGGAAUACAUCGGAAUCUACUUUUUCGUGGGGGAUAACGUAGGGAAACUUACGCUAAUACCGCAUACGACCUACGGGUGAAAGCAGGGGAUCUUCGGACCUUGCGCGAUUGAAUGAGCCGAUGUCGGAUUAGCUAGUUGGCGGGGUAAAGGCCCACCAAGGCGACGAUCCGUAGCCGGUCUGAGAGGAUGAUCAGCCACACUGGAACUGAAACACGGUCCAGGCUCCUGCGGGAGGCAGCAGUGGGGAAUAUUGGACAAUGGGCGCAAGCCUGAUCCAGCCAUACCGCGUGGGUGAAGAAGGCCUUCGGGUUGUAAAGCCCUUUUGUUGGGAAAGAAAAGCAGCAGGUUAAUACCCCGCUGUUCUGACGGUACCCAAAGAAUAAGCACCGGCUAACUUCGUG
Molecule: ribosomal RNA, 492 nt
Filed under: uncultured bacterium
Lineage: Bacteria
Description: partial 16S ribosomal RNA
Rfam family: Bacterial small subunit ribosomal RNA
Source: RNAcentral